UAAUGUUAGCAUGAUGUUAGCUGCUAAUGUUAGCAUGAUGUUAGCUGCUAAUGUUAGCAUUAUGUUAGCAUAAUGUUAGCUGCUGAUGUUAGCUGCUAAUGUUAGCUGCUGAUGUUAGCAUAAUGUUAGCUGCUGAUGUUAGCAUAAUGUUAGCAUAAUGUUAGCUGCUGAUGUUAGCAUAAUGUUAGCAUAAUGUUAGCUGCUGAUGUUAGCAUAAUGUUAGCAUAAUGUUAGCAUAAUGUUAGCUGCUGAUGUUAGCAUAAUGUUAGCAUAAUGUUAGCUGCUGAUGUUAGCAUAAUGUUAGCAUAAUGUUAGCAUGAUGUUAGCAUAAUGUUAGCAUAAUGUUAGCAUAAUGUUAGCUGCUGAUGUUAGCAUAAUGUUAGCAUAAUGUUAGCAUGAUGUUAGCAUAAUGUUAGCAUAAUGUUAGCAUAAUGUUAGCAUGAUGUUAGCAUAAUGUUAGCAUAAUGUUAGCAUGAUGUUAGCAUAAUGUUAGCAUAAUGUUAGCAUAAUGUUAGCAUGAGCCUGGCUCACAGAGCAGUGAGCUGCUGAACUUGUGUCUUUAGUAUAACUAGUCAUCUACAGAUCAAGUUAAAGAUGUCUGCGUUGUGGCUAAAUGUUCUCUUCGGCCACUGAAAGUGUUUUGUUCUUAAAGGGCCGUCGUGUUGGACCCGUGACAUCUAGAGACAGAUGAAAGCGUGGACGAGCAGCGUGGAGGAGCACCGUGGAGGAACAGCGUGGAGGAGCACCGUGGAGGAACAGCGUGGAGGAGCACCGUGGAGGAGCAGCGUGGAGGAGCACCGUGGAGGAACAGCGUGGAGGAGCACCGUGGAGGAGCAGCGUGGAGGAGCACCGUGGAGGAGCAGCGUGGAGGAGCACCGUGGAGGAACAGCGCGGAGGAGCACCGUGGAGGAGCAGCGUGGAGGAGCACCGUGGAGGAACAGCGUGGAGGAGCACCGUGGAGAGGACUCCAUGAAGACGACUUUCAGAUACAAAUCACAACCACUCAUGCAAGACAACAAAAUGGUCCAGCUCGGUUCCAGUUCAUCUCCUGGACGAGUGAGAACAAAAUGUCAACAGCUUCCAGUCCUCCCACAUUCACACGAGAGGCCAAAAGGUCAACAGGCGGCGGCGGUGACGCGGCGCGAUCGAUCGAACGGAGUGUGAAGACCCUCAGAUCAGGCUGCAGCUGGUAAACAAACCCUCAGGCUGAACGGAGAGCUGCUUUCUCUACUAGAAACGUCUCCAGCUUCCUGUCCACCAUGUCGGCUGCAGCUUCCUCAGAGGAAACCUUCAAUAACGGAUCUCAGCUCUCCUGUCAAACACGUUUCCACCUCCGAUCUGUCGCUGACUGAAGUUUUGACUGAACAGUGGAGGCCUCCUUCAUGACUCACCUGGACUCGUGACUCCGGCAGGUUGAUCUUCAGAGCGACCUCCUCCCUCAUGAAGAUGUCCGGGUACCGGGUCUUACCGAACAGAGCCUCCAGGAUGUCCAGCUGGGACCGGGUGAAGGUGGUCCGCUCACGACGCUGCUUCCUGGGGGUCGCUGAGAAGGAGGAGAACACACCAUAUUAUAUUAUUAUAUUUUAUUAUUAUUAUUAUAUUAAUAUUAUUAUAUUAUUAUAUUAUAGUAUUAUAUUAAUAUUAUAUAACAGCAGCAGUCACAGUCCAGUCAGAUCAGUUAGUUUAGAGCUUUAAAAACACGGUUAAAUGUGCAGUUAUACUUUAAUAAAACACACUUCAACAUCAAGUCCAGAUUUGAAAUAUUAUUGAGAGUUAUGUAAUUGGUUUAUUAUCUAAGUGAGAAAAAGAUGCAUUUAUUUCUGCUGUUUAAUUACUGUGGAUAAAAACAAUUUCACUUCUUUAUAUUUACAUUAAUAAAGAGAAUCACUGUUUUAACUAAA
Molecule: long non-coding RNA, 1901 nt
Organism: Sebastes umbrosus (honeycomb rockfish)
Lineage: Eukaryota; Metazoa; Chordata; Actinopteri; Perciformes; Sebastidae
Exons: 5
Source: RefSeq, a predicted model, not a curated record